Molecule: long non-coding RNA, 2308 nt
Filed under: Homo sapiens (human)
Lineage: Eukaryota; Metazoa; Chordata; Mammalia; Primates; Hominidae
Description: neuroblastoma associated transcript 1 (NBAT1)
Source: RNAcentral
CUAGAAUGAGAAUGCACAGCAAGCGGCAGACAAUCACCCGGCAUUCGGCAUCUCUUUCUUUUCACGCGCUCCCUCGCUCCGCCUUUCUCCAGCUCUGCCUUCUCAGGCAGAUACAUCAGAUACCUUGUUUAUCCAUCUUCAGCUCCACUCUGAGGGCGCAGACGCACGAUUCCGGGAUCGGGUGCACCACGGCGAAGCCCAGGCGGGAGACGGCAGGAGCAGCUCAGAUGAAGAAACUGAAACCCACAGAGAUGAAGUAACAUCCUCAAGAUCAAAAGGUAACAAACGAUUGAGGCAGGAUUUGGAUAUUGCUCUACAUGACGGGAAAGCCUGUGCUCUUGGAAUUACAGUCAUAGUACAACAGAUCAAGUUCAAAGCAUCAUCUAAGUCAAGGAAAACCAGUAAAGAGGUUUGGAGAGACAAACAGGGUCAACUCCAGGCAUUUGGGUCAGCAGAAACGGCACGAUUGAGCAGCACUGUGACUAUAGGAUCAUGGAUCAGAGGCUGCUUCCUCUUUGGUUCUGGGCAUCAGCCUCAUGUCCACUCAAAGUAAGUGGCCCCUCUGAUUGGAAUCGGAGGUGCCUGGGUCAUCUCACAGAGCCAAACAAAUACAAUUAGCUAUUGCAAAGCCUUUUGGGAAUUAUUCCCAGUGUAAAUAAACACAUAACCAUAUAGCAAGAGCCUUGAUAAAGUCCAAAAACAUGCAAACUUGGAGUAUCUAAGAGAAAAGACCACAAUGUAAAUGAAAAACCAAAUAAACUCGGGCAAACCAUAGGAUAGGGCCCUGUCUGUGAUGGCCUGCAUAUGAUGAGCCAUAGAAAAAGGAUGGUGAAUUCUGGAUAAUAAGAAAUGUCAAUGAGAUGCAAGAACCACCUGUUUUAUGUAAAGCUCCAAAUAACCAGAUCACAGUGGACAGCCACUCAAAUAAUGCCUUCAUAAUACAGAGUAUUAUUGAGAAUAACUCAGUUCACAGAGAGCUUAAGGCAGCCAAUAUUUGAUAGCCUGUCAGAAAAAAACAGAACAGUAAUUAUAGAAAAGAAUCAUAUCCUCGGAAAAACAAAAAUUAAUCAAACUAAGUUUGUAAAGUCUAUCUUACAGACACAUUGUCUGGACUGGUCCUCUCAAAAAUACUGUUUUUUUUUAAUGCCAAUUUGUUUAGUUAAUGAUUUUUGUCUUAUUACUUCAAAACUGGAAAUAUCCUAUGACUCAUAAUAUCUUACAACCUUUCUACUUUCUUAAAGAAUCUCAAGUUUAUAAUCACAGGGGAUCGGAUUAUUUUUCAAAAAUUAAAUGGUGAUGUAAUGAUUUCUGUGUCUAUUGUAGAAAAGUCAACCUUAUUACAGCUGCAACAAUGGCAUUAAGAAAUAUGAGUAAUUCCAAUCAACUUGAGAUAAUGUCUAAUCAAACACAAAUACAACUGGUAAAUUUCAUUAAAUAGCAUGGAGAUUAAAUUAAAACACUAUUAUGUAAUAAAAACCUUUAGUGGUACUAAAAUUUUAGAAUAGUUCAGAUAUACAGAAAAAUUUCAAAGAUACACAGAGUUCCCAUUUUUUUCCUAUUACUAACCUCUCAUAUUUGUCACAACUAAUGAAUAUUCAAUAGAGUAUUAUUAACUAAAGCCUAUACAUUUAUUUAGAUUUCCUUAGUUUUUAGCUAACAUUCUUUUUCUUUGUUCCAGGAUCCCAUCCGGGCCACCACAUUGAAUUUAUUUGUCAUUUUAGGUACCUCUUGGCUGUGAGUUUCUUAGACUUUCCUUGUUUUUGGUGACCCUGACAGUUUGAGGGAGUACUAGUCAGUCAGUUAUUUUUGCAGAAUGCCCUAAAUUUGAGUUUGGCUGAUGUUUUUCUUAGGGUUUGACUGGGGUUAUGGGUUUUGGGGAGGAAGACCACAGAGGUGAAGUACCAUUCUCACCAAAUUAUAUUAAAGGUACAUACCAUCAGCAUGCCUUAUACUAUUGAUGUGAACUUUGAUUGCCUGGCUGUGGUAGUGUUUGUCAUGUUUCUUCACUGUAAAGUUACUCUUCUCAUCACCCACUUUUCUGUACUGUACUCUUUGGAAGAAAGUCACUAUAUGCAUCCCAAAUUUAAGGAGUGGGAAGUUAUGCUCCACCCAUUUGUAAGCAGAAAAUCUACAUAAUUUGUUUGGCAUUCUUCUGCAUAGGAAAAUCAUCUCACUCUCCCAGUUAUUUAUUUAUUUGAUCUUUUUUUAUAUCAGUAUGGACUCAUGGGUAUUUCUUUUAUACUUUGGGUUAUAAUCCAAUACUAACACAAUAAAGAAAUUUUUAAUGGAGAUGCAAAAAAAAAAAAAA